UACGUAGGGGGCAAGCGUUGUCCGGAUUCAUUGGGCGUAAAGAGCGUGUAGGCGGCCAGGUAGGUCGGUUGUGAAAACUCGAGGCUCAACCUCGAGAUGUCGGCGGAAACCGUCUGGCUAGAGCCCGGAAGAGGAGAGUGGAAUUCCUGGUGUAGCGGUGGAAUGCGCAGAUAUCAGGAGGAACACCGAUGGCGAAGGCAGGUCUCUGGGCCAUUACUGACACUGAGAAGCGAAAGCAUGGGGAGCGAACAGG
Molecule: ribosomal RNA, 253 nt
Filed under: uncultured bacterium
Lineage: Bacteria
Description: partial 16S ribosomal RNA
Rfam family: Bacterial small subunit ribosomal RNA
Source: RNAcentral